Molecule: ribosomal RNA, 288 nt
Filed under: Mycobacterium intracellulare
Lineage: Bacteria; Bacillati; Actinomycetota; Actinomycetes; Mycobacteriales; Mycobacteriaceae
Also listed under: 1 other name
Description: partial 16S ribosomal RNA
Rfam family: Bacterial small subunit ribosomal RNA
Source: RNAcentral
UGGCCGGUACAAAGGGCUGCGAUGCCGCAAGGUUAAGCGAAUCCUUUUAAAGCCGGUCUCAGUUCGGAUUGGGGUCUGCAACUCGACCCCAUGAAGUCGGAGUCGCUAGUAAUCGCAGAUCAGCAACGCUGCGGUGAAUACGUUCCCGGGCCUUGUACACACCGCCCGUCGCGUCAUGAAAGUCGGUAACACCCGAAGCCAGUGGCCUAACCCUUGGGAGGGAGCUGUCGAAGGUGGGAUCGGCGAUUGGGACGAAGUCGUAACAAGGUAGCCGUACCGGAAGGUGCG